This is a non-coding RNA of Drosophila melanogaster (fruit fly), 693 nucleotides long. The record is from Ensembl. Lineage: Eukaryota; Metazoa; Arthropoda; Insecta; Diptera; Drosophilidae.
CAACCAUGGCCUUUCCUUUUCUCUCAUAAUUUCUCGUUUUCAAAAUCGCCCAAGAAUGGGGUUGCUGGCAAAGGUUCGAGCAUACUGGAAAAACAAAAUACGCAGGGUUCGACCAAUAGAGCCACUGCAGUCCGAUAACCGAAAGAUAGAUCAGUCUAGAUCGGAGAUUUAUUUCCAUCCCUCGCAGGCAUUUCAGUCGCUUAAGCGGGAUUUUGAUGCCGAAUCGGAACAAGGCAAUCACCAAGACCAUUGUUGCCUAUCCAAGCCUUAAGAUGAUCUUUGAAUCCUUUCUUGAAAGUAUCCUAUCUGUGAGUUUAGUAACCAACCAUAAACACCCAAUCUGAUUGGAAGAAGCCCAACCCUUGAGCCUACUUUAAAGAGGAAUAUCGUGGAACACGACUUAAGCCAGCGGAUAGCCGCAGGAAAUUCAAGCUCUCUGCAUGGUGCCAAAUAAAAAGAGCCACAAAAUCCAUUAAGACACAGCUAGCGGCAAUGGUAGUGGCAGUGGCAGUCCUCCUGCUCCAAUCCUCGUCCUUGCGCUCAUCCCCAUCGUGAUCCUGAUCCUGCCACCCACUGCAUCAUGCCCGCGUGGGCGCAACCCCAUUUUAAGGCCGCGCAUAAAAGUUAAUUCCGUUGCUCGUCGGUGGCCGAGAAAAAGGGCUAACAAAACUAUUAAAAUGCCGGCGACACCAU